UGCCAGCCGCCGCGGUAAUACGGAGGGCGCAAGCGUUGUUCGGAAUCACUGGGCGUAAAGCGCGUGUAGGCGGUUUGGAUAGUCGGGUGUGAAAUCCCGGGGCUCAACCCCGGAACUGCACUCGAAACUUCCAGGCUAGAGUCCCGGAGAGGAAGGCAGAAUUCCCGGUGUAGAGGUGAAAUUCGUAGAUAUCGGGAGGAAUACCAGUGGCGAAGGCGGCCUUCUGGACGGUGACUGACGCUGAGACGCGAAAGCGUGGGGAGCAAACAGGAUUAGAUAC
Molecule: ribosomal RNA, 280 nt
Filed under: uncultured bacterium
Lineage: Bacteria
Description: partial 16S ribosomal RNA
Rfam family: Bacterial small subunit ribosomal RNA
Source: RNAcentral